This 957-nucleotide long non-coding RNA is filed under the name Olea europaea (common olive). RNAcentral describes it as "long non-coding RNA (OEUR_LNC003592)". Lineage: Eukaryota; Viridiplantae; Streptophyta; Magnoliopsida; Lamiales; Oleaceae. The record is from RNAcentral.
GCCCAUUUUGACAAAUCACAUGUCCUCCACAUUCAUAAUAUGAAAUUGAAGAAUCCAUGAAAACUAUUGUAUAAAGUUUACCUUUUUGUGGUCCUUCCUCCACGGUCUGCAAAAGAGCUUCCUCCACAAAUACAUUUCCUUCGAAUUGUGUGCUUCUUUGCCUUUGGUCCCCCAUGCUUCUUACAACAAAGACGAGAAUCUUUCUAUAAUUUGUGGUCAAAUUUAAUUGAGUUGAUUAAGGAUAAAACCUAGGGUCACAAUGAUUUGGAAUGAAUUGUGAACAACGAAAAUUUCAAUUAAUUAGGUAUGUAGAUAUAGAACUUUUCGGAUAUGGAUUAUGAAGCUGGGACUGUUAAUUGAAUUAAUUAGUUUGAGGAUGUGACUUGAAGAUGAAGGUGAUUUGGGGAUGAAGAUUUUGAUCUCUCUGAUUUCUUUGAAGAAUUUUGAUUUUGUCCAUCCAAAAAAUAUUUUCCAAUUACACGAUUUUAACUAUUUAGAAAAUAAAAAUUUUAGAUGACGUUGAUAUGAUUCAUCAGCCACGUUAUUAAUUUUUAUCUCCACGUAGAAUUUAUUAUCUAGUUGUACAGAUGAAAUUGGCUUUGGUGAUGGAGUUCACAGUGGAAUAAGAGAGGCACGCUAAUAUACUGGUUUAUAAAAUUAUUUCUGAUCAAUUCUGAUUGAUUAUUUAAGAGAAAAGAGUUAGUCAGUGAUAAAAAUUUGAAGACCAAACAUAUUCUACACUGGGAGUAGGUCAAGUAGUUAAUUUAGUUACUCAAAAUUAAUUUCGGAUAAAUGAAAAAUUAAUGUCAAAUUUAAGUCGCUUAAAUACGUGAAAUUUUUGAGAAAUUGACUUUUUUGGACAUGACAUUUUAAAAAGUCACAUACAUUCAUUGUGGAGACGUGUCCCUUUGAGGAUGUAUUUUUCAACAAAACAAGUCUAUAAAAGACAUGUCUUUU